AGUUCGUUUGAUGAGCAUGUCUUUAUUUCAUUUUCGUUAAUAUUUCAAUUUUUUUUGGUUGGUUUGAGGGGGUGGAUUCUACCAACCACUUUCAUUUUUCCUAUCCAAAUAUGUUUUUUACUUUUCUAUCUUAUUUUUUCACUAUAGCACAUUAGCACUCUAGAUUAUAUUGCUUUGUUAGAGCAAAACAGAUGGAGUAUAUAGCUUAUCGACGACAAUUCAAUUCAAUUCAAUCCAACCAUCAGAGAAAUCUGACUAUGUUACUCUUUAGUUUAUUCCUAAUAAGCGCUGCUUGAAUAAAGUGAUAAGUGCAACAGCUCCGAUGAUGGCAAGAUAUUUAGCGAUUAGAGAUUGUUUCGUUUCCAAAGUACCAAGUACUUAUAACGAAAUAUAUACAAAAGCUCCCAAAUUCAAAAUUGCUGGGUGUACGGCGCCACCAAAAUACAGAACCGUCAUUCAUUUGUUCCAAUAUAACGCCAUUGUUCUCUGUAUUGUUUGCUAAUUGUUUCAACUUGUUGAACUAUUAGUGAUGGUCUAGUCCAAACGACACCUGGAAUGAGAGCGCAUUGAUGAAAGAGCUUCAACACAGCGCCCAAUCUCUCUUACUGUGGGAAUCUCAAACAUUGUCAAUGUUGUCACAUGUUGUUUGUUCGUAUACAAAGAAAUGCAAAUGCCAUCCACGCAUUCUGUUCAUCAUUAAAACUCUUUGAUUAAAUCCCUUGUACUGCAUUAAAUUUCAUGGCUGCAUAGAAGAAAAGUUACAUAGGAAAGAGCCAGCGAUUGCUACGAAUACUCGCUCGAUCUCACUCCACAGGCUGUUUCUUUAACAAUUUAUAUAAGAAUAUACAAAUAAGUAAAGUUUCAUAGAAAAGAAGAAAUGGAUUUUAUAGUGAAAAUGGGGAAUUUUAAAGUCCCUCAUUGCUUCAUCUAGCAACUCUUUCUUAUAUACAAUAACCGAAAUACGAUGCAUCGGUAAUUAACUGUUUACGCACACACAAUCUCUCAAUCUUCUCUCCUCUAAAAUAAAUGUCUCCAACCAAUUUGUUGAUAAAGAUAGAAUGGCUGUUGUAAUGUAGCAAACACUUAUCAGGGGAUGGAUGGAUGGAUGGAUGUUUUUCAUCAAGCACUUGUUUACAUGAGUGGGCGUUAGCUGAACACCGAGAGUCAUGUUCAUUCAAUUGUGCUAGUGUUUUAUAAUUUAUUUGUUUUCGUUUCAGUUUACUGUUUGUGUAGAAUGAAUACUAGUCAUGAAAGGAAAGAAUAAACCUUUCUGAAAAUGAAAUGACAUUGAGUGCAUAUUGUUGAAUAUGGAUAUGCUGUUGCUUCCAUACAUUUGGAAAUUUUGCAAACCUCUUUUUUUAUGUAUGUCCCGAUCAAUGUGUGUAUCCGUGGAUUACCAAGUUAUCAGUGAAUCGGCUUCCGUUCCUCCAUAUCUUUGAAUUGCUCUUUUUUCUGCCCUAAGCAGCGCAAUGCGCAUGAAGCGUUAUCAUUCAAUGUACCGAACAGAGUGGCAGUUGAGUGGCCCUUACCAAUCCGGCCUUUCAAAGUUUAUCUAAGAACCACUUGUUUGAGCUUAUCGACCAAUCACAGGCAAUGGAUCACCGUUCCUCCACUAACCACCUCGUAUCGCUAGAUUAGAGGGGUGACGUCAAGUGAACAUAUCGUGACUCGUUAAGUCAGCCAAGUAACGAAUUGCGAAAGGGAGGGCGCGCUUGAGAAAGUGCUAAUACAGCGAUGCAUGCAGAACAGUGGCAUUUGACGAAUAAUCAAGGGAGAAAGCAGAGAAGUAAAUGAACAGAAUUUUUUUAAAAAAAAUUAUAUUACAAUUGAAUUGAAUGGAUUUGGAAUUGAGUUUUGCCUGCUUUUUUACGGAAUCUCUGCUUCUAUCUGUCCAAACUCCCUUUGUUGAUGUUCGAGGGUUAGGGUACGGGUGGUGGAUAGACUAUAUAAACGAAAGAGGUAGCCCCCAUUGAGUCGUGUAUCAGUACGCUCCUCGUUACAAAGUCAAACGUCUUAGAACAAGUUGCAUUGGAAUUGAAUUUACCA
This 2046-nucleotide long non-coding RNA is filed under the name Schizosaccharomyces pombe (fission yeast). RNAcentral describes it as "non-coding RNA, possible alternative UTR". Lineage: Eukaryota; Fungi; Ascomycota; Schizosaccharomycetes; Schizosaccharomycetales; Schizosaccharomycetaceae. The record is from RNAcentral.